Pelobates cultripes (western spadefoot toad) is the source of this 872-nucleotide non-coding RNA. The record is from the annotation of a GenBank genome assembly. NCBI's taxonomy places the organism in Eukaryota, Metazoa, Chordata, Amphibia, Anura, Pelobatidae.
GUUGUUGUAUUCAAGGAACACUCCAAGUAUCAUAACCACUACAGAACUCCUCCAACCUGUAAGUAGUUAAACCUUUUCCUAAUGGCUUGACUUAUCUGGGUCUGCCAGUCACUUCCUCCAUGGAGAGCCAGAGUUCCUGCAUGCCAUCGGCCAAAAAGCUAAGCCCUGCAACUGCUAGACUUUGUUCAACGCAGAGCUUCUGGCUCCCAAAGAGGAGGUGACUAGGGCACAGUAGGCUCUAGGUAAGUUGCCAAACUGUUAAACCAUUUGACUGUUUACAUCAGGAGGGGCACCAGGGCAGUCCUUGGUACUAUAACCACUUCAGCAUCCUGGAGUGGUUAUAGUUGUUAGAGUGUUCCUUUAAUAUGCAAAAUUCUAUCUAUGGAAAAAUCACUUAAAAUGGUAUCUUGGUUUCUAGGAUACACUUUAUAGUGCCUUAACUUUUUACUUUUAAUGAAGUGAUCUUUACAAAUAAACUUUUUUUUGAAAGUUUUUAAACAGUUUCAUGAUUCAUAUACCAAAAUAAUAUUUAAAAUAAAUAAAUGGAUCACACAAACAUUUCAGCUGCCAGUAACAGGUGCCUGUCCUCCAAAGUCAUUGCUAAAAUCUGCACAUCGCAUGUAUAAAUCAUAUAGCGAAUUUACAAAGGUAUCCGGUCGACGGAAAGCUGAGCAUGGAGUGGAAUUCUGAGACGCAAUGGGUCUGAUUGCCAACCACUGAUAUUUCAGAUGUCAUGGACUACAUUUCCCAUGAUGCUCCAACAGCUAUUUGGAUGAUUGGGAGUCACAGAAUAUAGACAAAAUUACAAAAUGUCUGCCACCAGUGAAACAGGUUUUAUAACUCCAGAUUAAAAGGACUCUCUCCAGUGCCAG